RNAcentral lists this signal recognition particle RNA (87 nucleotides) under Arsenophonus sp. RNAcentral describes it as "signal recognition particle sRNA small type". It matches the Rfam family "Bacterial small signal recognition particle RNA". From Rfam's summary of the family: The signal recognition particle (SRP) is a universally conserved ribonucleoprotein involved in the co-translational targeting of proteins to membranes. Archaeal SRP consists of a 7S RNA and homologues of the eukaryotic SRP19 and SRP54 proteins. In most bacteria, the SRP consists of a 4.5S RNA and the Ffh protein (a homologue of the eukaryotic SRP54 protein). Lineage: Bacteria; Pseudomonadati; Pseudomonadota; Gammaproteobacteria; Enterobacterales; Morganellaceae. The record is from RNAcentral.
AGCACUAUAUGCUGUAUAAUAUAUUAAAACGGUCAGGUCUGGAAAGAAGCAGCCAUAGUAUGAUUAGUACAGGUAUAUAAAAAUAUU